RNAcentral lists this long non-coding RNA (853 nucleotides) under Gossypium raimondii (Peruvian cotton). RNAcentral describes it as "long non-coding RNA (GRAI_LNC006962)". Lineage: Eukaryota; Viridiplantae; Streptophyta; Magnoliopsida; Malvales; Malvaceae. The record is from RNAcentral.
CUGUUCAUGAGCACUUAACUCAGCGUUACUACACUUUUGUCCACUGGAAAUUGACAAAUGCCUGCAUUGGGUUGGAAAGUUUAGCCGUGGAGGCUUGAACAUUAAGCUGUAUACAGUUAGCAAACACAUUAAAAAACACCUACCUUUCUCUUCCACUCUGUCCUCCACAGAAUCUGAACCCUCACUUUAUUUAAGAAGCCACAAGAAACCUCUUUAUAAAUAUAUUUCUCCUCUUUACAAAGAGAUUUCAUAGGGAAAAGCUCAAAGUAAAGAUGGGUUUGGUUGUAAUCAUCUCUCUACCACUACUUAUCCUCUGCAUAUUACUUGCUGCGGCAUAUUACUUCUUCAGAAGAGCUAAACGGAGACAAGCUACUAACCCUCAGAUUUAUGGGGCACCAGCUCCGCCGCCUGGUGCACCUCCUCCUCCACAUACCAAGCCUGACAACUUGGCCAGUGUUUGACAGGUUCCAGGAAUGGAUUUUAUAUCUCUGGGAUAACUUUAGAAAAGAAAAUUCCCUUCCCUGUACUUUAUUUUACUGUAGACAAGCUUUUUGUUUUUUUGUUUGUUUGGUUGCUUAUAUUUGUGUGAAUUUGAGACAAACUAUGUUUGGUUAUCUGUGUUAAAAUGAUAUUAUCUCAGCAGGGUUAAGUUUAGGGUUGCCUUUGUCAUUUGAUUUUAGAUUGGAUUUGUUUGUGUUGCCUGCCCUGUGCACUUUUGUCACAUGAAAUAAAUGGUUAAAAUAGUGUAUUUGUUGUAUCCAUUCUGCCUCGAGUUUAUGUUUUUAUAUUCAAAUUGAGGUUGUUCAUCUGAUAUCAGUAUCAAUUAAAAAAGGAGGGUUUCAAUUUAACAGGU